RNAcentral lists this long non-coding RNA (839 nucleotides) under Olea europaea (common olive). RNAcentral describes it as "long non-coding RNA (OEUR_LNC001395)". Lineage: Eukaryota; Viridiplantae; Streptophyta; Magnoliopsida; Lamiales; Oleaceae. The record is from RNAcentral.
UCAUUGAGUAGAAAAAGUCUGGUUACUUUCCUGUAUUUCAUUUCUCUGCGUUUACAUUCAGCAUUAUAAUAAAAUCCUCAGAAUUUUCAUCUCUUUCAGUGGUUUCCCAUCAAAUUGGUAUCUGAACAUCAACGUCCUGAUGGCCCCAAAAAAACGGAAGGCAGGGUAGAAGCAGUGGAGAGAGAUGUUGAAAAAAUGAAGGUGGAGAUGCAGCAACUUCCAGGCCUAGCAGAAUCAGUGGAACAAUUAACCCAAAGCUUGGCUAUAGUACUACAAUCCAUAGAAGGAACUAGGAAGGCGGUGGCUACAAUGGCAAAUUCAAAAGUUGGGGAAAGUAGAAAUAUAGAAAAGGAUGGAUCAAGCGACAUUACCAGGGAUCCUGCUACAAAAUAAACAACUGGCAAACAUUGGUGAUCAACGCAGCCUGGAUCAUGGCAAAUGGUCGGAGGGGUCGGGUGAAGCUAAUUUCAGGGGAGGUAUUGUCACUGCCGACCAAUACAAAGGAGGAGAUAAUUGGAGAAAAAUACGAAAAAUCAAAAUGCCCAUUUUCAGUGGGACGGACCCGGAUGGAUGGUUAUUCCAUGCUGAGAGAUAUUUCGAUAUUAAUGGGUUGACCGAGCAGCAGAAAUUAGGGGCGGUAGGGGUAAGUCUUGAUGGUGACGCGCUUUCAUGGCUUCAAUGGAUAGAGGCGAGAAUGCCGUUCCAAAAUUGGCAAAAGUUCAGGCACCAACUGCUGCUGCGAUUCCGAUCAACAUAGGAGGGGAGUAUGUGUGAAAAAUUUCUCGUCAAAGGACAAAGGGACACUGUAGCAGAAUUUCGAUGGGAGUUCGAAGUGUUAG